AGGAAAAGAAACUAACAAGGAUUUCCUCAGUAGCGGCGAGCGAACAGGAAAGAGCCCAGCACCGAAUCCCGCGGUUCCGCCGCAGGGAAUUGUGGUGUUCGGGAGGAUCCGCUUAUCCCUUGGCGUCGCGCCGCGUCCAAGUCCAUCUUGAACGAGGCGAUUCAUCCGCAGAGGGUGCCAGACCCGUAGCGACCGAUGCGCGCCUCGGGAGGAUCUCUCCUUAGAGUCGGGUUGCUUGAGAGUGCAGCUCUAAGUGGGUGGUAAACUCCAUCUAAGGCUAAAUACAACCACGAGACCGAUAGCGAACAAGUACCGUGAGGGAAAGUUGAAAAGAACUUUGAAGAGAGAGUUAAAGAGUACGUGAAACCGUUCAGGGGUAAACCCGAGAAACCCAAAAGUUCGAACGGGGAGAUUCAUCGUCAGCGCCGCUGGCUUCGCGUCGGUCGGCGAUGCCGGCGCGGGUCCGCCGUGUCUCUCGCCACGGCUCCCGCGCUGGCACGCCGCCGUGCGCCGAUGUCCGGCGCGCGUCGUCGUGCACUUCUCCCCCAGUAGGACGUCGCGACCCGCUGGGUGCCGGUCUACGGCCCGGGACGGACGGCUGCAACGUCGCCGGUGAAACGGCACGCGGCAAGCCCCCGGUCGCCCGGCCGGCUGCCCGGCGGUAAGAUGGACGGUACGAGGCCGCGCCCCCGGGCGCGUCGAGCCCGUCGCAAGCGAGUGCCACGGUCGCCGGAGGUACGGACCCAGUGCCGUCCCCGGUCCUGGCCCGCUGUUGGCAGUACGGUGCACCUUCGACAGGCCUGCGAGGCGCGCGCGCGGUGUCCCGCCCGUCGCGAGACGGGGGAGGGCCCGCGCGCGCGGCACAUACCGGUCGGCGACGCUACCGCUUUGGGUACUCUCGGGACCCGUCUUGAAACACGGACCAAGGAGUCUAACAUGUACGCGAGUCAUUGGGACUUGCGAUACCCAAAGGCGCAAUGAAAGUGAAGGUCGGCCCUCGCCGGUCGACCGUGGGAGGAUGGGCCGCGUCGCGAUGCGGCCCCGCACUCCCGGGGCGUCUCACCCUCAUCGCGAGGAGAGGCGCACCCAGAGCGUACACGUUGGGACCCGAAAGAUGGUGAACUAUGCCUGGUCAGGACGAAGUCAGGGGAAACCCUGAUGGAGGUCCGUAGCGAUUCUGACGUGCAAAUCGAUCGUCGGAACUGGGUAUAGGGGCGAAAGACUAAUCGAACCAUC
Molecule: ribosomal RNA, 1236 nt
Filed under: Aenictus sp. 2 CSM-2006
Lineage: Eukaryota; Metazoa; Arthropoda; Insecta; Hymenoptera; Formicidae
Description: eukaryotic LSU rRNA
Rfam family: Eukaryotic large subunit ribosomal RNA
Source: RNAcentral